This is an unclassified non-coding RNA of Colobus angolensis palliatus, 296 nucleotides long. It matches the Rfam family "Metazoan signal recognition particle RNA". From Rfam's summary of the family: The signal recognition particle (SRP) is a universally conserved ribonucleoprotein. It is involved in the co-translational targeting of proteins to membranes. The record is from Ensembl. Lineage: Eukaryota; Metazoa; Chordata; Mammalia; Primates; Cercopithecidae.
GCCGGGUGCGGUGGCCCCUGCCUGUAGUCCCAGCUACUUGGGAAGCUUGAGGCAGGAGAUGACUUGAGCCCAGGAGUUCUGGGCUGUAGUGUGCUAUACCAAUCGCGUGUCCACACUAAGUUCGGCAUCAAUAUAGUGACCUCCCAGGAACAGGGGACCACGAGGUUGCCUAAGGGAGGGGUGAACUGGCCAAGAUCGGAAAUGGAGCAGGUCAAAACUACCCUGCGGAUCAGUAGCAGGAUCGUGCCUGUGAAUAGCCACUGCACUCCAGGCUGGGUAACAGACCCUGUCUCUCU